ACCGAAUAGGGGAGCCGAAGGGAAACCGAGUCUUAACUGGGCGUUAAGUUGCAGGGUAUAGACCCGAAACCCGGUGAUCUAGCCAUGGGCAGGUUGAAGGUUGGGUAACACUAACUGGAGGACCGAACCGACUAAUGUUGAAAAAUUAGCGGAUGACUUGUGGCUGGGGGUGAAAGGCCAAUCAAACCGGGAGAUAGCUGGUUCUCCCCGAAAGCUAUUUAGGUAGCGCCUCGUGAAUUCAUCUCCGGGGGUAGAGCACUGUUUCGGCAAGGGGGUCAUCCCGACUUACCAACCCGAUGCAAACUGCGAAUACCGGAGAAUGUUAUCACGGGAGACACACGGCGGGUGCUAACGUCCGUCGUGAAGAGGGAAACAACCCAGACCGCCAGCUAAGGUCCCAAAGUCAUGGUUAAGUGGGAAACGAUGUGGGAAGGCCCAGACAGCCAGGAUGUUGGCUUAGAAGCAGCCAUCAUUUAAAGAAAGCGUAAUAGCUCACUGGUCGAGUCGGCCUGCGCGGAAGAUGUAACGGGGCUAAACCAUGCACCGAAGCUGCGGCAGCGACGCUUAUGCGUUGUUGGGUAGGGGAGCGUUCUGUAAGCCUGCGAAGGUGUGCUGUGAGGCAUGCUGGAGGUAUCAGAAGUGCGAAUGCUGACAUAAGUAACGAUAAAGCGGGUGAAAAGCCCGCUCGCCGGAAGACCAAGGGUUCCUGUCCAACGUUAAUCGGGGCAGGGUGAGUCGACCCCUAAGGCGAGGCCGAAAGGCGUAGUCGAUGGGAAACAGGUUAAUAUUCCUGUACUUGGUGUUACUGCGAAGGGGGGACGGAGAAGGCUAUGUUGGCCGGGCGACGGUUGUCCCGGUUUAAGCGUGUAGGCUGGU
This 876-nucleotide ribosomal RNA is filed under the name Escherichia coli. RNAcentral's name for it is "partial 23S ribosomal RNA". It matches the Rfam family "Bacterial large subunit ribosomal RNA", at positions 649 to 1529 of the family's 2925-position model. Lineage: Bacteria; Pseudomonadati; Pseudomonadota; Gammaproteobacteria; Enterobacterales; Enterobacteriaceae. The record is from RNAcentral.